AGGAAUUGAAGAAUCAAGGGGAAAAAGGAAUGAAGAUGAAUCAAAAAGAAAAAUUGAAGAAGAAUCGAAGAAGAAUCAAAAAAGAAUCGAGGGGAAGAAGAAAAAUUGAAGAAAAAAAGAAAAAUCGAAAAAGAAGAAUCAAAGAAAAAACAAUAAUCGAAGAGGAAGAAAAAAACAAUCGAAGAAGAAGGAGAAGAAUCAAAGAAUUAGAAGAAGAAUCGAAUAAGAAGAAUAAGAAAACAAUGAGUGGAAAAAUGAAGAACGAUAAACGAAGAACGACGAACGAUGAACACAGAUACCCAGCUGGGUUUCUGCAAUUUUUUUAUUACUGGACGAAAGAUUAACG
This 346-nucleotide long non-coding RNA is filed under the name Linum usitatissimum (flax). RNAcentral's name for it is "long non-coding RNA (LUSI_LNC002588)". Lineage: Eukaryota; Viridiplantae; Streptophyta; Magnoliopsida; Malpighiales; Linaceae. The record is from RNAcentral.